RNAcentral lists this non-coding RNA (99 nucleotides) under Kineococcus radiotolerans. RNAcentral's name for it is "Glycine sequence". It matches the Rfam family "Glycine riboswitch aptamer". From Rfam's summary of the family: This family represents the bacterial glycine riboswitch. Glycine riboswitches usually consist of two metabolite-binding aptamers domains with similar structures in tandem. The aptamers cooperatively bind glycine to regulate the expression of downstream genes. The record is from RNAcentral. Lineage: Bacteria; Bacillati; Actinomycetota; Actinomycetes; Kineosporiales; Kineosporiaceae.
GCAGGCCGCUCUGGAAAGCAGGACCCCACGGUCCUCACCGACGGGGAAAGCCUCGCUGCGCGGGGUGAAGCUCUCAGGUCCCGCGACAGAGGGGGUCCA